CCUACGGGGUGCUGCAGUGGGGAAUAUUGGACAAUGGGCGAAAGCCUGAUCCAGCCAUGCCGCGUGUGUGAAGAAGGCCUUCGGGUUGUAAAGCACUUUCAGUGGGGAAGAAAGCCUUGGGGCUAAUACCCUCGAGGAAGGACAUCACCCACAGAAGAAGCACCGGCUAACUCCGUGCCAGCAGCCGCGGUAAUACGGAGGGUGCGAGCGUUAAUCGGAAUUACUGGGCGUAAAGCGCGCGUAGGCGGUCUGAUAAGCCGGUUGUGAAAGCCCCGGGCUCAACCUGGGAACGGCAUCCGGAACUGUCAGGCUAGAGUGCAGGAGAGGAAGGUAGAAUUCCCGGUGUAGCGGUGAAAUGCGUAGAGAUCGGGAGGAAUAUCAGUGGCGAAGGCGGCCUUCUGGACUGACACUGACGCUGAGGUGCGAAAGCGUGGGUAGCAAACAGGAUUAGAUACCCCAGUAGUC
Molecule: ribosomal RNA, 465 nt
Filed under: Vreelandella stevensii
Lineage: Bacteria; Pseudomonadati; Pseudomonadota; Gammaproteobacteria; Oceanospirillales; Halomonadaceae
Description: partial 16S ribosomal RNA
Rfam family: Bacterial small subunit ribosomal RNA
Source: RNAcentral